GUCUACGGCCAUACCACGUUGAAAUCACCAGUUCUCGUCCGAUCACUGAAGUUAAGCAACGUCGGGCUCGGUUAGUACUUGGAUGGGUGACCGCCUGGGAACACCGAGUGCUGUAGACGCCC
RNAcentral lists this ribosomal RNA (122 nucleotides) under Lottia gigantea (owl limpet). Lineage: Eukaryota; Metazoa; Mollusca; Gastropoda; Lottiidae. The record is from RNAcentral.